Molecule: unclassified non-coding RNA, 165 nt
Filed under: uncultured Basidiomycota
Lineage: Eukaryota; Fungi; Basidiomycota
Description: sequence contains ITS1
Source: RNAcentral
UUGAAUUCUAAAGGUUGUGCUGGUUCUUACAAGUGCACGCCUUUAUCAAUUUCCAUACACCUGUGCACCUUUGUAGGUUCCGGGGAGCAAUCCCUGGUUCCUAUGUUUUACAUACCCUAUUAAUGUCUUUGAAUGUUUACUUGUCUUUUGACAAAAAAAUCUAUA